Molecule: transfer RNA, 74 nt
Filed under: Camelus bactrianus (Bactrian camel)
Lineage: Eukaryota; Metazoa; Chordata; Mammalia; Artiodactyla; Camelidae
Also listed under: 2 other names
Rfam family: tRNA
About the family: Transfer RNA (tRNA) molecules are approximately 80 nucleotides in length.
Source: Rfam by way of RNAcentral
GAGGAUAUAGCUCAGUGGUAGAGUGCAUAACCCUAGCAUGCAUGAGGUCCUGGGUUCAAUCCCCAGUACCUCCA